Molecule: microRNA precursor, 85 nt
Filed under: Pongo abelii (Sumatran orangutan)
Lineage: Eukaryota; Metazoa; Chordata; Mammalia; Primates; Hominidae
Description: mir-571 microRNA precursor family
Rfam family: mir-571 microRNA precursor family
Source: Rfam by way of RNAcentral
AGUAAGACCAAACUCAGUGUGCCAUUUCCUUGUCUGUAGCCAAGUCUGUGGGCCUUUGAGUUGGCCACCUGGGUGAGGACCUCCU